AAAUAUUUCCGUACUUUUUAUAACUGCGAUGUGGGGACGGAGUAGUGACACUGCCGCGAUCUGACGGAAUAGAUCGUUAAAGGCUGUAGGUAUUGGACCGGUAGGCAAAUCCGCCGGUCUAGCUGAACGCUGAUAGUACAACAAACCUUCGGGGGCGUUGAUAGCGCAGGUAAUCAGACUUCCAAGAAAAACCGCUAAGCUUCAGGUUAUAAAAACCCGUACCGCAAACCGACACAGGUAUCCGGGAAGAGAAUUCUAAGGUGCUCGAGUGAAUCAUGGCUAAGGAACUCGGCAAAAUGGCCCUGUAACUUCGGGAGAAGGGGCGCUGGUAGCAAUAUCAGCCGCAGUGAAAAGGCCCAGGCGACUGUUUAACAAAAACACAUGGCUUUGCAAAAUCGAAAGAUGAAGUAUAAGGCCUGACACCUGCCCGGUGCUGGAAGGUUAAGAGGGGAUGUUAGGGUUAAACCGAAGCAUUGAAUCGAAGCCCCAGUAAACGGCGGCCGUAACAAUAACGGUCCUAAGGUAGCGAAAUUCCUUGUCGGGUAAGUUCCGACCUGCACGAAUGGUGUAACGAUCUGGGCGCCGUCUCAGCCAUGAGCUCGGUGAAAUUGUGGUCCCGGUGAAGACGCCGGGUACCCGCAACGGGACGGAAAGACCCCAUGCACCUUCACUACAAUUUAACAUUGACAUUGGAUACAGGAUGUGUAGGAUAGGUGGGAGACUAUGAAGCGGCGUCGCUAGGCGUCGUGGAGUCAACGUUGAAAUACCACCCUUUCUGUAUUCGGUGUCUAACUCCGCUGGUCGGAGGACAUUGUUUGAUGGGUAGUUUGACUGGGGUGGUCGCCUCCAAAAAGGUAACGGAGGCUUUCAAAGGUAAGCUCAAUACGCUUGGUAACCGUAUGAGGAGUGCAAUAGCAUAAGCUUGCUUGACUGUGAGACAGACAAGUCGAUCAGGGUCGAAAGACGGAUAUAGUGAUCCGGUGGUUCUGCAUGGAAGGGCCAUCGCUCAAAGGAUAAAAGGUACGCUGGAUAACAGGCUGAUCUCCCCCAAGAGCUCAUAUCGACGGGGAGGUUUGGCACCUCGAUGUCGGCUCGUCACAUCCUGGGGCUGGAGAAGGUCCCAAGGGUUCGGCUGUUCGCCGAUUAAAGUGGCACGCGAGCUGGGUUCAGAACGUCGCGAGACAGUUCGGUCCCUAUCUGUUGUGGGCGUUGGAAUUUUGAGUGGGGCUGACCUUAGUACGAGAGGACCGGGUUGGACUAGCCUCUAGUGAAUCUGUUGUUCCGCCAGGGGCAUUGCAGAGUAGCUACGCUGGGAAUAGAUAAGCGCUGAAAGCAUCUAAGUGCGAAACUAGCCACGAGAUGAGAAUUCCAUAUAGGACCGUAGCAGACUACUACGUUGAUAGGUUACAGAUGUAAAGGUGGUGACAUCAAAGUCGAGUAAUACUAAUAAUCCAAAA
RNAcentral lists this ribosomal RNA (1457 nucleotides) under metagenome. RNAcentral's name for it is "bacterial LSU rRNA". It matches the Rfam family "Bacterial large subunit ribosomal RNA", at positions 1431 to 2915 of the family's 2925-position model. The record is from RNAcentral.